CGUGAGUGAUGAAGGCUUUCGGGUCGUAAAGCUCUGUCAAGUGGGAAGAACCUACGAAGUGUUAAUAUCACUUUGUACUGACGGUACCACUGAAGGAAGCACCGGCUAACUCCGUGCCAGCAGCCGCGGUAAUACGGGGGGUGCAAGCGUUAUUCGGAAUCAUUGGGCGUAAAGGGCGCGUAGGCGGCCUGUAAAGUCAGAUGUGAAAGCCCGGGGCUCAACCCCGGAAGUGCAUUUGAAACUUAUAGGCUUGAGUAUGGGAGAGGAAAGUGGAAUUCCUGGUGUAGAGGUGAAAUUCGUAGAUAUCAGGAGGAACACCGGUGGCGAAGGCGACUUUCUGGACCAAUACUGACGCUGAGGCGCGAAGGCGUGGGUAGCAAACAGGAUUAGAUACCCUGGUAGUCCACGCAGUAAACGUUGUUCACUAGGUGUAGCGGGUAUUGACCCCUGCUGUGCCGCAGUUAACGCAUUAA
This 473-nucleotide ribosomal RNA is filed under the name uncultured delta proteobacterium. Its description in RNAcentral is "bacterial SSU rRNA". It matches the Rfam family "Bacterial small subunit ribosomal RNA", at positions 400 to 863 of the family's 1533-position model. The record is from RNAcentral. Lineage: Bacteria; Deltaproteobacteria.